Molecule: transfer RNA, 69 nt
Filed under: Laonastes aenigmamus (Laotian rock rat)
Lineage: Eukaryota; Metazoa; Chordata; Mammalia; Rodentia; Laonastidae
Description: tRNA-Phe
Source: RNAcentral
GUUCAUGUAGCUUAAACCCAAAGCAAGGCGCUGAAAAUGCCUGGAUAAACUAUACUAGUUUCAUAAACA